RNAcentral lists this transfer RNA (79 nucleotides) under Campylobacter gracilis RM3268. RNAcentral's name for it is "tRNA-Arg". It matches the Rfam family "tRNA". From Rfam's summary of the family: Transfer RNA (tRNA) molecules are approximately 80 nucleotides in length. Their secondary structure includes four short double-helical elements and three loops (D, anti-codon, and T loops). Lineage: Bacteria; Pseudomonadati; Campylobacterota; Epsilonproteobacteria; Campylobacterales; Campylobacteraceae. The record is from RNAcentral.
UGUCCUCGUAGCUCAGUAGGAUAGAGCGCAAAAUUCCUAAUUUUGAGGCCACAGGUUCGAAUCCUGUCGGGGACACCAU